RNAcentral lists this microRNA precursor (67 nucleotides) under Microcaecilia unicolor. RNAcentral describes it as "Mun-Mir-219-P2_pre stem-loop". It matches the Rfam family "mir-219 microRNA precursor family", at positions 6 to 67 of the family's 79-position model. From Rfam's summary of the family: The hairpin precursors (represented here) are predicted based on base pairing and cross-species conservation -- their extents are not known. Lineage: Eukaryota; Metazoa; Chordata; Amphibia; Gymnophiona; Siphonopidae. The record is from RNAcentral.
UGAUUGUCCAAACGCAAUUCUUGUGACAUUUGACAGCAGCAGUCAAGAAUUGCGGGGGGACAUCUCU